AAUUUGCAGAGUUUGAUCAUGGCUCAGCUUGAACGCUGGCGGCAGGCCUAACACAUGCAAGUCGAACGGUAACAGGAAGCAGCUUGCUGCUUUGCUGACGAGUGGCGGACGGGUGAGUAAUGUCUGGGAAACUGCCUGAUGGAGGGGGAUAACUACUGGAAACGGUAGCU
This 170-nucleotide ribosomal RNA is filed under the name Escherichia coli. Its description in RNAcentral is "partial 16S ribosomal RNA". It matches the Rfam family "Bacterial small subunit ribosomal RNA", at positions 1 to 164 of the family's 1533-position model. The record is from RNAcentral. Lineage: Bacteria; Pseudomonadati; Pseudomonadota; Gammaproteobacteria; Enterobacterales; Enterobacteriaceae.